Molecule: long non-coding RNA, 305 nt
Filed under: Chloebia gouldiae (Gouldian finch)
Lineage: Eukaryota; Metazoa; Chordata; Aves; Passeriformes; Passeridae
Description: Erythrura gouldiae (Gouldian finch) lncRNA (ENSEGOG00005019601.1)
Source: RNAcentral
UAGAGACAAGGCAGCUGAAGUGGUCCGAGGGCUGGAACAGUGCUGGUUUCUGUGCUGCUGCUCCUUUUUGAUACCUUGUGCCACUUUGCAACUGAAUUUUGAAGAUGUCAGGGGCCAGGACACUCCUGUGAACUUCACUGACAGCUGGAUGGACUUGGCAGAGAGAGCCCAUCUGACAGGGAUGUGAAUGCUUGGGGGUGGUUGCAGCAGAAGGAAGAACAAGUAAGUAAAUUUGAGGGGAUAAAUGUGCAGGCCUUUUCAUGGAGCAAUUGCAAUCAGUUGUUUUAAAGUAUACCCCAGUUGUG